RNAcentral lists this ribosomal RNA (720 nucleotides) under Triticum aestivum (bread wheat). RNAcentral's name for it is "partial small subunit ribosomal RNA". The record is from RNAcentral. Lineage: Eukaryota; Viridiplantae; Streptophyta; Magnoliopsida; Poales; Poaceae.
AUGAACCACAUGCUCAAGAAAGGGUUUGUCAAGGGGACCCAGAACCUACACAAGUUUGCUAGGCGGGUAAAUGCUUGCAUACAAACUCGGAUGCAGAAGGAGAACGAGCAAACAAUGACUAGCAUGACCAAUCCUGUGACAAAAACAACUUACGGCUAUGAGGAAGACAUGUCUAUCAAGUACACGAGAGCCGUGUACACCGAGAUGAGGACUAGGAUGAGAAAAGCCAUGCUAUUUCGCACAAAGCGUACAGUAGAUCCCACUAAGUACCUUGUGUACUACCACAACAAGCCUGGACAUGAUGAUGAAGAAAGAUUUUCCUGGUCAAAGCAUGAAUUCCAAGUUGUAGCUGACCCAGAGAAUGAAAUAUACGAGUGUGAAUGCAAGCUUUGGACACACACAGGCCUGUUCUGCCUUCACAUCAUGAACAUACUGGACUACCUGAAGCCUGACAAAUUUGCACAAAAGUAUAUCCUCAAACGGUACACAAAGACUGCAAAAUCACAACCAACCUUUGAUACAAGGGACUACAACACAACUGCAUCGGAUGGCAACUCAAGACUAUCGAAGCAAGACAUGUUGCUGCGGCUAAAUUUGAUGGUUAACAAGAAAGCGAUGAGAUGUGACCAACAAUAUGAUAACGCCUACUAUGUUCUAAAGAGGCUCGUGGAAGAGCGUGAUGCAAUACAUUCAGCAAUCAAGCGGAUGCUGACGAAAUGA